ACAAAUUGCACUGGCCAGCUUCCUGCUCCUGGGAGCGGGGUCCAUGGCUGAGCUUCUGCUCCCCGGAAGAGCUCCAGACUCCUCAAGGGUGUGAGAUUUUUCAAACCAAUUCCAAAUAAGCCAGGGGAGGUUUUCCUGUCUUGGUUUCCAUCAUCACCACCUCCACAGUUGGAGAUUCCCUCCUAAUCCAGAUGCUUGAACCAGGACUAGGACUUCAUAUAUCACUGGGACACUUAGCAUAAUCCCCAUUGCAGGUUGCCAGACAUCACCCAAAGUGAUGUUCUACCAAAGACGGAAACAGCAGCUCUCCCAUGACCUUCCAGGUGCUGCCCUGACUCCUCCAGCUGAACCUGCUAGGGCAGACGAAAGUGGAACAUGCAGCAUAUUUCCCUGCCACUCUGUCCAUGUGCCCACCAACUCGGCUGCAGGCUCCAGGGACACCAGCUGGGGGGGCCUGCCUGGGGCUCAGAGCUGAGCAAGGUUACAGGGCAGAUAGGUUGGCCUGGAUCAACCUGACCACCCUCAACUGGAGUGGUGACUUCUUCACUGUCUGACACUAAACCAGGAACCAAGUGGAUCUCUCUGAGUGCAGGGUGGGUGACCUUAACCAGUGGAGGCAUUUCUCUUCUUACAGACCUCGUAUUUUUCUUUACUAGGUUCUGUGCUCCUCUCAAGGGUCCUAAGUGUUCCUCCAACCUGAGUGUUCUGCAGGGAAACAUGCUGUGUAAACACCAUGCCUAUUUCCUGCUUGGAGCACAGGUUUUGUAGUAGAGCUCUCAGGGGUGUGGAAGAAGCCUGGCAGCCCACACCCUAUAAAUGCUGUUGUCCACCUGUAUGCUCUGACUUGGAGGCAGAGACCCAAGCAGCUGGAGGCUCUGUGUGUGGGUCCAUCUCUACCAGGGGCUCAGCAGGGCCUAAGCCGGGGAGUGGGAGAACAGACCCCAAGGAGAAGGAAGACCUAAUUACUGACUGUGAGAGGGUCAUCACCCCCCUGAUCAUCACCUUGAGGGGCCUAGGCUGUGUUCAUCUUUUUUUCAUUCUCAGGUCGUUGAUUUCUUAGAGCCUGAAAAGAAGGUAACUGAGCGUAUGAGGGACAGAUGGAGUGAGUCAGUGAGUGAGUGACCUCAUCCUUGCUCCUAAUAGACUGGGAGGGACAGGGCAGCUUUUCUGCAGAGCACGGAAGUCAGAGAGGUGAAGCCAGUUUCCCAGAGUAACAGUGAGGCACUGACAGAAAGGAGACUACAGUGGAGUCCAGGUCCCCGGGCUCCCCAGAGCUCUUUACUCUUCCUCCUCCACAGCAGCCUGGAGACCCCACACCUCCAGCCGGAGGCCUGAAGCGGGAGACCACGCCAGCUGCCAGAUGAUGCUGGGAAUUUUCCGCAGGUGCCCGAGGUCUUCCCGGCACUCUGGUCUCACCUGCCCUGCCUCUCGAGCUCGCCCAGCUUCCUGAGUCCUGACAGAGCACAGUCGCGGGGGAUGUUGGCAGAGGCAGCAGAUGUUUCACA
This 1505-nucleotide long non-coding RNA is filed under the name Papio anubis (olive baboon). RNAcentral's name for it is "lncRNA (ENSPANG00000048837.1)". Lineage: Eukaryota; Metazoa; Chordata; Mammalia; Primates; Cercopithecidae. The record is from RNAcentral.